This 1096-nucleotide long non-coding RNA is filed under the name Oreochromis niloticus (Nile tilapia). RNAcentral's name for it is "lncRNA (ENSONIG00000028264.1)". The record is from RNAcentral. Lineage: Eukaryota; Metazoa; Chordata; Actinopteri; Cichliformes; Cichlidae.
GGUGCUGCAGGUCGGCUGGCUUUGCGCUGCAGGUCGGCUGGCUCGGUGCUGCAGGUCGGCUGGCUCGGCGCUGCAGGUCGGCUGGCCUGGUGCUGCAGGUCGGCUGGCCCGGUGCUGCAGGUCGGCUGGCUUUGCGCUGCAGGUCGGCUGGCUCGGUGCUGCAGGUCGGCUGGCCUGGUGCUGCAGGUCGGCUGGCUUUGCGCUGCAGGUCGGCUGGCUCGGAGCUGCAGGUCGGCUGGCUCGGAGCUGCAGGUCGGCCACUGUGUGGAUCUGGUGAUAACACCCUUUCAUUGUCGGAUAAAGCUGUCCUAAAGUUGUACGAGUAAUCGAGAGUAGCUAUUGAUACAGUUGUCCCAUUAUGGCUGUGGAACAACUCAGGUCCUGGCAGCAUGACAUUGCAGAGCGGUGCACUCACCUAACCGAAAGUAUUUUUGACAGAUACACGGACGAGGACGAGGCCCUAGACACAACAGAUAUGAUGGAAAUACAAAACCAUGUGCAUCGCCUACGGGCCCUAGUCGAAUACAGCUUGCAGGAUGAGGUGCGAGCCAAAGUGUUACUGUCAGCGGUCCGUGACACUGGUCCCUACUUGUACGAGGACUUGUCGGACCUGGGACCAAGGGGGAAGACAGAACGAAAACUGACACAGUUCAAGUUAACCCAUGCAGCCGAGCGCGCGCUCGGCUCCACGCUGCCCACGUUCCAUCGUGCCGUCAGAGACGGCAGCUUCCUGGACAACAUCACGAGGGUCGAUGCGGCUGUCGACAUCAUGGUUCAGGAAGAGCUGAUCUUACCCGAUGAACAAUAUAUGCUAUAUCACAUAAAUAAAACCACUGCGGGGAAGGUGCGUGCGAUCAGAUGCCUCUUUAGAUGCCCUACGGUACCCGACGAGGCCAAGGCCAGCAUCGCGCUGAUUCUGGCCGUGUACAACUUACACGCCUUCGGUAUCUUCACCAACGACCCCGACAGUUUGUUGGAGACUGUGUAGAUUCCCUCAGUGGGGGCUUCGGUUGUGUAGCCAUGUGGUAUACCCAUUAUAUGUGUCUAUAAAGCAUGAUGUUUGAUUGCCUGUAUUUCACAAUAAACAAAACACCAU